AGUUUGAUCAUGGCUCAGGACGAACGCUGGCGGCGUGCCUAAUACAUGCAAGUCGAGCGAAUUUUAAGGAGCUUGCUCCUUAAGAUUAGCGGCGGACGGGUGAGUAACACGUGGGCAACCUGCCUGUAAGACUGGGAUAACACCGGGAAACCGGUGCUAAUACCGGAUAAUUCUUCACCUCUCAUGAGGUGAAGCUGAAAGUCGGUUUCGGCUGACACUUACAGAUGGGCCCGCGGCGCAUUAGCUAGUUGGUGAGGUAACGGCUCACCAAGGCGACGAUGCGUAGCCGACCUGAGAGGGUGAUCGGCCACACUGGGACUGAGACACGGCCCAGACUCCUACGGGAGGCAGCAGUAGGGAAUCUUCCGCAAUGGACGAAAGUCUGACGGAGCAACGCCGCGUGAGUGAUGAAGGCCUUCGGGUCGUAAAACUCUGUUGUUAGGGAAGAACAAGUACCGGAGUAACUGCCGGUACCUUGACGGUACCUAACCAGAAAGCCACGGCUAACUACGUGCCAGCAGCCGCGGUAAUACGUAGGUGGCAAGCGUUGUCCGGAAUUAUUGGGCGUAAAGCGCGCGCAGGCGGUCCUUUAAGUCUGAUGUG
This 603-nucleotide ribosomal RNA is filed under the name uncultured bacterium. RNAcentral's name for it is "bacterial SSU rRNA". It matches the Rfam family "Bacterial small subunit ribosomal RNA", at positions 10 to 596 of the family's 1533-position model. The record is from RNAcentral.